UGGGCGAAAGCCUGACGCAGCGACGCCGCGUGCGGGAUGAAGGCCUUCGGGUUGUAAACCGCUUUCAGCAGGGACGAAGCGAAAGUGACGGUACCUGCAGAAGAAGCGCCGGCUAACUACGUGCCAGCAGCCGCGGUAACACGUAGGGCGCAAGCGUUGUCCGGAAUUAUUGGGCGUAAAGAGCUCGUAGGCGGUCUGUUGCGUCCGCUGUGAAAUCUCGGGGCUUAACCCCGAGCCUGCAGUGGAUACGGGCAGACUAGAGGUAGGUAGGGGAGAAUGGAAUUCCCGGUGUAGCGGUGAAAUGCGCAGAUAUCGGGAGGAACACCGGUGGCGAAGGCGGUUCUCUGGGCCUUACCUGACGCUGAGGAGCGAAAGCGUGGGGAGCGAACAGGAUUAGAUACCCUGGUAGUCCACGCUGUAAACGUUGGGCGCUAGGUGUGGGAUCCUUCCACGGAUUCCGUGCCGCAGCUAACGCAUUAAGCGCCCCGCCUGGGGAGUA
Molecule: ribosomal RNA, 499 nt
Filed under: uncultured bacterium
Lineage: Bacteria
Description: bacterial SSU rRNA
Rfam family: Bacterial small subunit ribosomal RNA
Source: RNAcentral